AUUGAACGCUGGCGGCAGGCCUAACACAUGCAAGUCGAGCGGAAACGAGUUAUCUGAACCUUCGGGGAACGAUAACGGCGUCGAGCGGCGGACGGGUGAGUAAUGCCUAGGAAAUUGCCCUGAUGUGGGGGAUAACCAUUGGAAACGAUGGCUAAUACCGCAUGAUGCCUACGGGCCAAAGAGGGGGACCUUCGGGCCUCUCGCGUCAGGAUAUGCCUAGGUGGGAUUAGCUAGUUGGUGAGGUAAGGGCUCACCAAGGCGACGAUCCCUAGCUGGUCUGAGAGGAUGAUCAGCCACACUGGAACUGAGACACGGUCCAGACUCCUACGGGAGGCAGCAGUGGGGAAUAUUGCACAAUGGGCGCAAGCCUGAUGCAGCCAUGCCGCGUGUAUGAAGAAGGCCUUCGGGUUGUAAAGUACUUUCAGUCGUGAGGAAGGCGGCGUCGUUAAUAGCGGCGUUGUUUGACGUUAGCGACAGAAGAAGCACCGGCUAACUCCGUGCCAGCAGCCGCGGUAAUACGGAGGGUGCGAGCGUUAAUCGGAAUUACUGGGCGUAAAGCGCAUGCAGGUGGUUUGUUAAGUCAGAUGUGAAAGCCCGGGGCUCAACCUCGGAAUAGCAUUUGAAACUGGCAGACUAGAGUACUGUAGAGGGGGGUAGAAUUUCAGGUGUAGCGGUGAAAUGCGUAGAGAUCCGAAUGAAUACCGGUGGCGAAGGCUGGCCCCCUGGACUGAUACUGACACUCAGAUGCGAAAGCGUGGGGAGCAAACAGG
RNAcentral lists this ribosomal RNA (770 nucleotides) under uncultured Pseudoalteromonadaceae bacterium. RNAcentral's name for it is "bacterial SSU rRNA". It matches the Rfam family "Bacterial small subunit ribosomal RNA", at positions 28 to 776 of the family's 1533-position model. Lineage: Bacteria; Pseudomonadati; Pseudomonadota; Gammaproteobacteria; Alteromonadales; Pseudoalteromonadaceae. The record is from RNAcentral.